CUCACCUGAACAUGCAUAACUGGGGGUGCUGUUUAGUGGAUAGGUGAGUGCGCUGGAUCUUGUGCAUUAUAUAUAUAUAUAUGAAAGCCAAACACCUACAUAAUACCUUUUUGUGCACUCAUAGGGUCGACUACAUUAAACAAUGGGUAGACUACAUUAAACAAUGGUCAGAGACACUGUUUAAAUCUGUAUACAGAUUGCAGUCAAUUUCUUGUAUUUAGCUCAUUUUGAUUUAGAUGAAUUAACUCAGCUGGCUAUCAGUUCAGUAAUUAAAUUUGCUCAUCUGGCUAAGAACAGGAAACAACUAAACAGUGGUAUAUUUACACUAUGUAAGCUUUUUUAGGGGUAUCUCAAAGCAAACGUUUAUUUUCUUGAUUGAUACGACCACAAAUAAAAUAUAAAAACUAGACAUAUAUGCAUUCCAAAACGGAUAAUCAUUUCACUUGGUAUAUUGUAUUUUCGCUACAUAAUUUGUAUGUUGUACUGUUUCCAGAUAGAUAGAUUUGUGAUACUAUUUAUUUUGCAGAUGGCUAAUAAUGUGGUAAAGAUGGCGAUUAACUGCGCAGACUUGAAGGGACAAUGGAAUAGACUGUGAUUAAAAAUCAAAAUUAGGGGGAGGGCAGGUUGGGAGUGGGAGGGACUUACUCUGUAAAUUUUGUACAGAAAACAUUUCUAACAUUUUCUACACUUUCAGAAAGUAUUUAUAAUUUUCCGCUGAAUGUCAAACUGCUGAAAAAUUCUCUACAGAUGGGAGCUAGUUAAAUAUAGCGAUACAGUCGAAGCUCAACACAGCUCUUAGCUUCAACAGAGCUGCUUUGUGCUACGACAGUAAAAUGAUCUUGAAAUAUGUGUUUUGGAUUUUUUUUCUCUACCCUACCUGUGUUUCCUCAUGCAGUGUUUCGUAAAAGUGCCGCUGUCUCCUAUUACUUAUGCCAAUAAAGAAUUUGAAAAAGAUUGCAUCAAAUCCC
Pelobates cultripes (western spadefoot toad) is the source of this 968-nucleotide non-coding RNA. The record is from the annotation of a GenBank genome assembly. Lineage: Eukaryota; Metazoa; Chordata; Amphibia; Anura; Pelobatidae.